UACAGAGGGGCAAGCGUUGUCCGGAUUUACUGGGCGUACAGCGCGCGCAGGCGGAACUGGACGUGCCGUGUGACAGACCACCGCUCACCGGUGGAGGGCCACGGUACACGGACAGUUCUGGAGGCAGGGAGAGGGUAGUGGAAUUCCCGGUGUAGUGGUGAAAUGCGUAGAUAUCGGGAGGAACACCAGUGGCGAAGGCGACUACCUGGCCUGUUCUUGACGCUGAGGCGCGAAAGCUAGGGAGCAACAGG
RNAcentral lists this ribosomal RNA (251 nucleotides) under uncultured bacterium. RNAcentral's name for it is "partial 16S ribosomal RNA". It matches the Rfam family "Bacterial small subunit ribosomal RNA", at positions 524 to 776 of the family's 1533-position model. The record is from RNAcentral.